RNAcentral lists this ribosomal RNA (207 nucleotides) under Triticum aestivum (bread wheat). Its description in RNAcentral is "partial small subunit ribosomal RNA". The record is from RNAcentral. Lineage: Eukaryota; Viridiplantae; Streptophyta; Magnoliopsida; Poales; Poaceae.
AUGCGUCGAUCAAGGACUGGUGCCAGAAGCGGGGCACCAAGGGGGAGCAUGUGGUGUACACGGCCGAGUUCAUGGUGGAUGCCGGCUUCGGCGAGCCAGGCGCUGGCGUGGUGGCCAUCCGGAACCACCGCGAGUUCUUCCUCGUCGAGGGCAGUGGGCUGCCUUGCGGCACCGUGCACUUCGCCUGCAAAUCCUGGGUCUUCUUAA